UUAGUUGCUACGAAAGGGCACUAUAAUGAGACUGCCGGUGACAAACCGGAGGAAGGUGGGGAUGACGUCAAGUCCUCAUGGCCCUUAUGGGUAGGGCUUCACACGUCAUACAAUGGUCGGGACAGAGGGUCGCCAACCCGCGAGGGGGAGCCAAUCCCAGAAACCCGAUCGUAGUCCGGAUCGCAGUCUGCAACUCGACUGCGUGAAGUCGGAAUCGCUAGUAAUCGCGGAUCAGCAUGUC
This 241-nucleotide ribosomal RNA is filed under the name Bordetella bronchiseptica. RNAcentral describes it as "16S ribosomal RNA". It matches the Rfam family "Bacterial small subunit ribosomal RNA", at positions 1111 to 1358 of the family's 1533-position model. The record is from RNAcentral. Lineage: Bacteria; Pseudomonadati; Pseudomonadota; Betaproteobacteria; Burkholderiales; Alcaligenaceae.